UACGGGGGGAGCAAGCGUUGUUCGGAUUUACUGGGCGUAAAGGGCGCGUAGGCGGCCAGCACAAGUCAGUUGUGAAAUCUCCGGGCUUAACUCGGAAAGGUCAACUGAUACUGUGCGGCUAGAGUGCGGAAGGGGCAACUGGAAUUCUCGGUGUAGCGGUGAAAUGCGUAGAUAUCGAGAGGAACACCUGCGGCGAAGGCGGGUUGCUGGGCCGACACUGACGCUGAUGCGCGAAAGCCAGGGGAGUGAACGGG
Molecule: ribosomal RNA, 254 nt
Filed under: uncultured bacterium
Lineage: Bacteria
Description: partial 16S ribosomal RNA
Rfam family: Bacterial small subunit ribosomal RNA
Source: RNAcentral